This 73-nucleotide transfer RNA is filed under the name Spirochaetes bacterium GWB1_60_80. RNAcentral's name for it is "tRNA-Thr". It matches the Rfam family "tRNA". Rfam says of the family: Transfer RNA (tRNA) molecules are approximately 80 nucleotides in length. Their secondary structure includes four short double-helical elements and three loops (D, anti-codon, and T loops). Further hydrogen bonds mediate the characteristic L-shaped molecular structure. tRNAs have two regions of fundamental functional importance: the anti-codon, which is responsible for specific mRNA codon recognition, and the 3' end, to which the tRNAs corresponding amino acid is attached (by aminoacyl-tRNA synthetases). tRNAs cope with the degeneracy of the genetic code in two manners: having more than one tRNA (with a specific anti-codon) for a particular amino acid; and 'wobble' base-pairing, i.e. permitting non-standard base-pairing at the 3rd anti-codon position. Lineage: Bacteria; Pseudomonadati; Spirochaetota. The record is from RNAcentral. RNAcentral also lists the same sequence under 6 other names.
GCCGAUAUAGCUCAGUUGGCAGAGCGACGCUCUCGUAAAGCGUAGGUCAACGGUCCGAUUCCGUUUAUCGGCU